UCCGGUUUGUCACCGGCAGUCUCAUUAGAGUGCCCAACCAAAUGUAGCAACUAAUGACAAGGGUUGCGCUCGUUGCGGGACUUAACCCAACAUCUCACGACACGAGCUGACGACAGCCAUGCAGCACCUGUGUUCCCGUUCCCUUUCGGGCACAGCGAGAUCUCUCCCGCCUCCGGGACAUGUCAAGGGUAGGUAAGGUUUUUCGCGUUGCAUCGAAUUAAUCCACAUAAUCCACCGCUUGUGCGGGUCCCCGUCAAUUCCUUUGAGUUUUAGCCUUGCGGCCGUACUCCCCAGGCGGGGCGCUUAAUGCGUUAGCUACGGCACGGAUCCCGUGGAAGGAAACCCACACCUAGCGCCCACCGUUUACGGCGUGGACUAC
RNAcentral lists this unclassified non-coding RNA (379 nucleotides) under uncultured bacterium. RNAcentral describes it as "contains 16S-23S intergenic spacer region". The record is from RNAcentral.